GGUUCUAUGGUGUAGUGGUUAGCACUCUGGACUUUGAAUCCAGCGACCUGAGUUCGACUAUUGGUGGGACCU
Non-coding RNA from Brassica napus (rape), 72 nucleotides. The record is from Rfam. Lineage: Eukaryota; Viridiplantae; Streptophyta; Magnoliopsida; Brassicales; Brassicaceae.